This 872-nucleotide long non-coding RNA is filed under the name Nicotiana benthamiana. RNAcentral describes it as "long non-coding RNA (NBEN_LNC023172)". The record is from RNAcentral. Lineage: Eukaryota; Viridiplantae; Streptophyta; Magnoliopsida; Solanales; Solanaceae.
AUCUUGUACAAGCUCCCAAAGAUCUUGAGAAAUAAAAAGAGUCUUCAUUUGGAGGCUCCAAUAAUCAUAGUUAUCUCCAUCAAAAAUGGGGACAAGAUUCUGUGAAUAGUUGAACAUGGAUGGUGAUGAUGUUGUCAUGUUGAAGAACUAGUGUUGAGACAUAAGGCUAACCUCGCUCUGAUACCAAAUUUAUUGGGGUGGAGUGUAUGAAAGGAGAUAUUAGAUUGUUAGAGUAGGAAAAUGUUAUGGGAAAAACUUUGAAUGCUUCUUGUUCAUCUCAAUAUCUCAUACAAAUGAUGGAUAACAUGGCUAUUUAUAGACUUGUUGGAUAGUUCUAGAUUUUUCCACAUAAAUGAGAUAUUUCUCAAGCUCUACAUUAUUCUAGACUCUAGAUAUUUUACUUACAUACAUAUUUUUCCAAACAUGUUCUCUAGUAUUCUAGAGAACUCCAUGAUUUGAUAUUAUACUCAUAUAUCCAGAGACUUCUAGCUAAUACAAAUUACAAAUUACAUAUUAUACUUUAACAACUCUGAACCAACAGCAACAGUAAAUAUUACGGGAGUGGUCACAAUUUUAUGCAAGAGCAUUAUUGACACUCAAUAAUUCGAAAAAAACAGAGUAAAUAACCAAGGUCAAAAUAAAAGGAUUCGAUCGUAAACGAAGAAGAAAGGAGAAGAAGACGGAUUUACUGAACGAAAACUAAUAGGAAAAUAAAACGAAAACCUACCGGUUUCUGCCGGAAUUUGAACGGAACCUCGUUGGUAAUGGAAAAUGAGGCGGCGACUCCUCGACCGGAUCUGUAAUUCUCUACAGCCAGUCAUGGUCGUUUGGGUGGUUAACGCGGGGCUGGACUGGACGACGGGGACAGAUGC